ACUUCUUGGGGAUCGAAGAUGCAGUCGUCGUCACAUUUUGGAGUAAUUGAUACCCUGCUGCACUUGUUUUUGCCGACCAUCAUUAAUUAGUCUCAUGUUUGUUAUUUUUGUUUUUAUUCUUUUGAAAAGUUUUAUAAUUUAACGAUUUAAUUUUAUGCGUGCCUUUUUUACUUCCAUUGUAUAUGUGUGUGUGUAUAUAUACACACACACACAUAUGCAUUUAUAUGCAUAUAUAUAUGUA
Long non-coding RNA from Octopus sinensis (East Asian common octopus), 241 nucleotides. RefSeq lists it as uncharacterized. The transcript is spliced from 3 exons. NCBI's taxonomy places the organism in Eukaryota, Metazoa, Mollusca, Cephalopoda, Octopoda, Octopodidae. The record is from RefSeq and is a predicted model, not a curated record.